CAAAAACAUCGCCUCUUGAUCAAUUAUAAGAGGUCAAGCCUGCCCAGUGACAUUGUUCAACGGCCGCGGUAUCCUAACCGUGCGAAGGUAGCGUAAUCACUUGUCCUUUAAAUAAGGACUAGUAUGAACGGCUUCACGAAGGCUAUACUGUCUCCUUAAUCUAAUCAAUUAAACUAAUCUCCCCGUGAAGAAGCGGGGAUUCAUCUAUAAGACGAGAAGACCCUAUGGAGCUUUAAACAUCUAAGACACUUGAUUUUUACCUACUAAACUUCAUGCAACCUAUCCUUUUGUCUUAAGUUUUAGGUUGGGGUGACCACGGAGAAAAAUUAAACCUCCACGUAGAAAGAAAAUUCUUUUCUAAGCAAAAAGCCACAUCUUAACGCAUCAAUAUAUUGACUUAACUUGACCCA
RNAcentral lists this ribosomal RNA (410 nucleotides) under Allobates femoralis group sp. ABGD cluster 9. RNAcentral's name for it is "partial large subunit ribosomal RNA". It matches the Rfam family "Bacterial large subunit ribosomal RNA", at positions 1808 to 2386 of the family's 2925-position model. The record is from RNAcentral. Lineage: Eukaryota; Metazoa; Chordata; Amphibia; Anura; Aromobatidae.